Molecule: ribosomal RNA, 429 nt
Filed under: Actinomycetes bacterium
Lineage: Bacteria; Bacillati; Actinomycetota; Actinomycetes
Description: Actinobacteria bacterium partial 16S ribosomal RNA
Rfam family: Bacterial small subunit ribosomal RNA
Source: RNAcentral
UAGGGAAUCUUCCGCAAUGGGCGAAAGCCUGACGGAGCAACGCCGCGUGAGUGAUGAAGGUCUUCGGAUCGUAAAACUCUGUUAUUAGGGAAGAACAAAUGUGUAAGUAACUAUGCACGUCUUGACGGUACCUAAUCAGAAAGCCACGGCUAACUACGUGCCAGCAGCCGCGGUAAUACGUAGGUGGCAAGCGUUAUCCGGAAUUAUUGGGCGUAAAGCGCGCGUAGGCGGUUUUUUAAGUCUGAUGUGAAAGCCCACGGCUCAACCGUGGAGGGUCAUUGGAAACUGGAAAACUUGAGUGCAGAAGAGGAAAGUGGAAUUCCAUGUGUAGCGGUGAAAUGCGCAGAGAUAUGGAGGAACACCAGUGGCGAAGGCGACUUUCUGGUCUUUAACUGACGCUGAUGUGCGAAAGCGUGGGGAUCAAACAGG